RNAcentral lists this ribosomal RNA (376 nucleotides) under uncultured bacterium. RNAcentral's name for it is "bacterial SSU rRNA". It matches the Rfam family "Bacterial small subunit ribosomal RNA", at positions 524 to 898 of the family's 1533-position model. The record is from RNAcentral.
UACGUAGGAAGCAAGCGUUAUCCGGAUUUAUUGGGCGUAAAGUGAGCGUAGGUGGUCUUUCAAGUUGGAUGUGAAAUUUCCCGGCUUAACCGGGACGAGUCAUUCAAUACUGUUGGACUAGAGUACAGCAGGAGAAAACGGAAUUCCCGGUGUAGUGGUAAAAUGCGUAGAUAUCGGGAGGAACACCAGAGGCGAAGGCGGUUUUCUAGGUUGUCACUGACACUGAGGCUCGAAAGCGUGGGGAGCGAACAGAAUUAGAUACUCUGGUAGUCCACGCCUUAAACUAUGGACACUAGGUAUAGGGAGUAUCGACCCUCUCUGUGCCGAAGCUAACGCUUUAAGUGUCCCGCCUGGGGAGUACGGUCGCAAGGCUAAA